AUCCAGCAAACGAGUCCUAAAUAGUACGAAAUGUGCAUCCUGGAU
This 45-nucleotide non-coding RNA is filed under the name Trichobilharzia regenti. The record is from RNAcentral. Lineage: Eukaryota; Metazoa; Platyhelminthes; Trematoda; Strigeidida; Schistosomatidae.